AGGGUUAUGGUUAUCACAGGGCCAUAUUUCCAUGUUACAGCGCUUGUUUACAGAAGACAGAGGUGUCCAGGUGAUUUAAUUAGCUAUCGGAGCGUCUCCCAAACACCUCCGCGCAACGGAAGAAGGACCCCAGAAUAGUGUUGUAACCGAAAAAUACUGAGGGCUGCAACUGUGUUAAAACCGUUUAAACACAAAUGUUAAAACAGAGCGUUGGGAUAGUAGUUCACAUGGAGCCGUCUGUGGUCCAUACCAUCAGCUGAGAACCCAAGAGGGGGAACCUGCAAGCCGCCUUGGGUUCUCGAGAGCUGUGGUCAGACAUCCCGAAAGGACCUACCCUGACCUGGCAUAAAUCAUAAAAAG
Long non-coding RNA from Coregonus clupeaformis (lake whitefish), 360 nucleotides. RefSeq lists it as uncharacterized. NCBI's taxonomy places the organism in Eukaryota, Metazoa, Chordata, Actinopteri, Salmoniformes, Salmonidae. The record is from RefSeq and is a predicted model, not a curated record. The transcript has 2 exons.